GACAGAGGGUGCAAACGUUGUUCGGAAUUACUGGGCGUAAAGCGUGUGUAGGCGGCUACGCAAGUCGGAUGUGAAAGCCCUGGGCUCAACUCAGGAAGUGCACCCGAUACUGCGAAGCUAGAGUACCGGAGAGGUUGGUAGAAUUCUCGGUGUAGAGGUGAAAUUCGUAGAUAUCGAGAGGAAUACCUGUGGCGAAGGCGGCCAACUGGACGAGUACUGACGCUGAGACACGAAAGCGUGGGGAGCAAACAGG
This 253-nucleotide ribosomal RNA is filed under the name uncultured bacterium. RNAcentral describes it as "partial 16S ribosomal RNA". It matches the Rfam family "Bacterial small subunit ribosomal RNA", at positions 524 to 776 of the family's 1533-position model. The record is from RNAcentral.